Molecule: non-coding RNA, 111 nt
Organism: Acanthosepion pharaonis
Lineage: Eukaryota; Metazoa; Mollusca; Cephalopoda; Sepiida; Sepiidae
Source: the annotation of a GenBank genome assembly
CGGCCUUAUUAUGUUGAAACACCGCUUCUCGUACGAUCACCGAAGUUAAGCAACGUCGAACCUGGUCAGUACCUACAUGGGUAACCGCUUCGGAAUAUCAGCUGCUGUAAG